Molecule: long non-coding RNA, 8701 nt
Organism: Sander lucioperca (pikeperch)
Lineage: Eukaryota; Metazoa; Chordata; Actinopteri; Perciformes; Percidae
Exons: 2
Source: RefSeq, a predicted model, not a curated record
UCAGGCGUGCACCCGGCACACACGAUGGCUGCAGCAGCUGGAGCACUCUCUAGGUCAUUAUGGCUCUCUUCACUACGGGAAGAGGAGGAGAGGAGGGGAAGAGAGGAGGAGCAGCUCAGAUAGGAAACUAAUCUGAAAGGUAAUAUAUGCUCUUCUUUCGCUUUCGGACGGAGUUUACCCCCUGACGGGCCUUGACGUCUCCUGUCCUGUCUCUUCCCCCCCUCUCUUCUUUGGAUGCGAUCAGUUAUUAACCACAUGGUUUGCCUGUGAGUCGCGUAGUCGAAAGGGGGAGUGGAAUGCACUGUUCUGCAGCAGCAGCGGCACUGGGACAGAACUUAACCAGAGACCACCUUUGGGCUUUUUUUCCUCUUCUCUUGUUCCUCUUGUCUUAAAAGAGGGAAAAGAAGAAAAGAAAUAGAAAAAAGUACGGAGAGGAGGAGGAUGCAGGAGAAGGUGAAGCAGGGAAAAGGGAGGCUGGGGAGUUGCUAUGGUCCACAUGGAUUUUAGCCCCGUUUUAUUGCUCUUCAGUCUAUCUUUCUUAUCUUCCUCCCUCCCUCCCUCCCUCCCUCGUCUUGCACGCUCUCUUGCUCUCUUGUGUUCCUGGCACUGGCCGGACAUGCUGCAGCAGCAGAGCUCUUUGGCUCAUUAGGCUUCAUGGUUGCAGCCCUGCCGCUAUCUAAUGACGGACUCGUUAACUGAGACCAGCACUGGUGUGGAGAGACAUUCCCUUACGCACAAUUCUCCCUCUGCGUCAGACACCUUCCAAGAUGUUUUUGUACCAUCUCUAAGGAUACCUAUAAUUACUGGGACUUGUUAAUGUUAUUUUUUUCUUUUUGGUUCUUUUUGGUGGUUUGGAGGGGCGGGGGAGGUCACUGCCAUUCUUAAUUGAUGGGAGGUAAGUUUGAGGACAUGUCACAUUUUGAAGCCCAAGGUUGGCUGAUUGGGGAGGAAGGAUGGAAUGUGGCGUCCAGAGGGAUGAUGAAGCAUCAAAAUAAUGGACAGCAGGCAGGUCGGGAGUGCUGAACGGGGGAAACAUUGGAUUGACGGCACACAGCUGUGAGAAGUGUACUAACACAGAUGUGAGGGUAAGGAAGGUGAGGAUGGGCGGGAGGGGAUAUUGGGCAGCAUUGGUUGGCUGAGUAGAUGUGUGUCACCGGCCGAACCCACAGCACUUAGGGUAGUAACCCAAUUUCUUCUCUCUCUGUAACGGAUUACUAUAGCUAGGCAGGGCAUGCAGGGCACAGAGUACUGCAGUGCUAUCGCCCAAACCAGAACAGACAUAACAACCACUGGGCUAAUUCGCUGGUUCACGUUCCCCAACCUUCAUCCCGCUGUGUGUAGGAAAGAAUUUCACCCCCUCUCUCUCCUGUUUGCUCACCCUCUCGGGUGGCUGUGACAUUUCCUAAACAGGACGUCACACCUUUAGGACCAGGCUCAUCCACGAACUGUCACCUCCAGUUCAACCUCCCCUCAUUGCUAUUCCAAACCGUUCCACUGCAAAAACAUUGCACCAAUUUUCCCAUUUAUUCUGUUCUCUGCAAUCAAGUCUCCAAACUCAACCCUAAGCUAGUCUUCCCUAAUCCAUUUUUCGUUUUACACCCAUUGCCUCAGCACCCAGCCUGCUGGCUAGCUAAGCGUGGCUGGAGGCAGUGUUGACUUGUGGAAUGUGUUGGUUGGGGGCAAAGUUUCAUUAGAGACUUGCUGAACAAUUCUCGCCACCAUGCAAAUGGUUAUUGAUCUGUUCCACCCAUUCUGCAACAGAACAGCAGGUUUCUCUGUAGACACAGACAGAUGAGGUUUGAUCAGAGGAAAAAGGAAGUGAGAAAAGAUGACCAUAAAAACAGUGAUCUGUCUAUGUGUGGGAAGAGAGAAAGAACAAGGUACAGAACGUGAGAGAGGGGGGAGGUCAGUGGGGGUAUAGCCAGGACCAAUCCACAAGUGCUGAGUGGGCAUUAGCGCCUUCAUGUGACCUAUGGCCUGCCUCUGCGCCUAAAGCCCAAAUCCUGCUCACAAUAGCUUCCUGUUCCACUUGGAUCACCCUCGUUUUCAAACAUCAGCAAGCGCUCCAGCUAGCCACUGGGGACGGUGCUGACACAAGAGAGACGAGGGACAGGCAAGAGCUACAUAUUGGUAAAAGUAGAGGUAGGAAAGGAGAGAGGAUAUAGAAACUGGGGGUGAAAUAGGAGAACGAGAUGGUGGUGAGGGAGGCAGACUGAAAGAGAAGUGGGAGGAGAGAAGUGAAAGUGUUUAGUGUGUCAGCGGGGCCAAUCAGCUUAUAGGUGCACCCCUGCUCGCAAGACACACGGUCCAAAGCAGAUGAUCAUCAUACAAGACAAGGUGCACACAGAGGCACCUUACACCAUGGACUUUCUAUCAAGGAGAAAACUCUUCCCUCCUUUGCUGCCGUUUUUGUCCAAACCCCUUAAUCUACCUCAACAUUUUUCAUGAAAAGAGAAAAAGCCCACCUUCUAAAUGCUGUAAAAAGGGGAGCUGUAUUCCUCCCCCUGGUUUCUCCCAGAACUUUGUCUGGAGGACAGCGGGGGUCACUGGGACAGUCGACUAUGGUAUGGACUGCAAACCUUCUGUUAUGUUCAGGGGCGGGGGGACGAGCUGUUCAGCCUUACAUGGCAACCAAAGGAAAGCCUUGAGUGUUGAACUGAAUGUACUCUCAAAGUCACCUUACAGUGCAGACUACCAUACUUGGGAGAGGGAAUGAUGAGGAAAACUGUUCUGCUCAUAACUUCCUGACCUUGGCGAAAGUGCUCCAAUAUGGCUAAAGGGGAAAAGCAAGCAAGGUGAACUGGACCAAAACUCUGCCAUUGUUUCUGGCUCUUUUUUUUUUAACAUGCAACUGAAAGAGCAGGAAAUAGUUGCUGAGGAGGCAGAAUGAAGAGGGACUGAGGCUGGCUCUAUCAUUCUGCUGUAUCAUAUGGCUUCCGUGUUAACAAGCUUGUGUGUUUAACUAUGACUGCCCUCCCUUUAUGCCGAUGCCCUUAUUCGCACCCCCACCCUACAUCAACCCGGCUGCCCCGUGCUCCCCUCCCGUCCCCGAUUCCUGCUCUCAUUGUUCACGUUUGCUAUGCUUGCCAAAUGCUUUGCUAGGCUGCAUGGCAGUCAGAUUAGACCAUCAAAAAGUGACAAUGCAGGAUCAGAGUCAACUCCUGCCUGUCAGCUGAUUCCAAUUGUUGACUGCUUCAAACAAAUAAAGGCAACAGAAUAUGGACAGGGGCACGGAGAGAAAUGAAGCGAGGGGGGAGGUGGGGAGUAGUUUGCAUUGUGAGCUAUUCAUAUCUAGCACUUUCACCUAUUCUGACCCCCUCUCUGGCCCGUGCUUGGAUCAAACAUAGUCCCUGUACCAUGUUUUAGCACAGGUUUACCUCUCUUUAAACCCCUUUAAUGUAGAUAUAUACUGCUGUACUAAAAGGUAAUAUUUUCCACUGCAUUUUAACUUUUAUCAUUGUUAUUAAAUUAUAUAUUUGAGGUCUGAUCAACAAAUUAGAUAAUUAAAGGCUCAACAAUAAAUAUAAAUGUAUAAAUGUAAACUGCUAACAGUAAACCUUGGAUGAAACUGUGAAACUAAAACACACAGUACCUGCAUAUAAAUUGCUUCCUCAUAAAAUUAGAUUUAUUUUCCUUAAUUACAAUGUUGUUAGAUGUAGCAGGCUAGGAUGUAUGUGUGCCUACAAAAUUUAUCCCGCAGUGAAGCAAUGAAAAAUUGUAUGUAUGCCAAUGUAGUACGACAUCUCUGUAUGAAAUACAAGACACUUCAUUCUGAACUGAUUAAUAUGCCAAGUGUAGGGCUGACUUACUCUAUUCCCCCUUUUAAUUGAAAGGAAUAUCUAAAUUGAGGUAACACACCUGACAUCCACACUAAAAAUCUGCAUUCCUUGUACCUUUGGUUUACCGACAAUGGUUAAAAGAUACUUAACUCAUGAACAAAAAUAAUUUGUAGCCUAUAAAUCCCUUUCUGACGUUCCUUAUUUUUUCCCCUAAUGAAGUUGGAUUUGAUGUAUGAAAAAUAAAACUAUAAAGCCCUACUCACAUUUUCUUAAAAGCAAGGGUCACCACAAAAAAAAUGUUAUUUAAUUUGAGGAGAGCAUCAGAAUGAAGCUGCAUUUUUGGGCUUCAGUUUUCAACCAUUUAGACCCAUCUGCAUAAUAUUCUGCCUGGCUCUCUGUUCUGUCAAGACAUCGAGGCGUGUAGGAGAGCAUGGCUUGCACUGCAUGUUUCUCCCAGGCCCUCAAAAGCAAUGACCUGCUGUCUGAGUGACAAACACAGCAGAUGCUGACAUUAUCAAAUGCUCAGUGCCUGUCGUCCCCCCUGCUUUUGCCCUGUUAUGGCCCUUAGACGAGGUGAGCAGCCUGGCCACCUGACUCUGAGUGACUGAGUGUGUUUGUAAGUGAGCAAGCAUGAAUGUGCAUGUGUAUGUUACAAAUAGACCUGCCUUUGGUGUGCCAUAUCAAGCUGGCCCUUUAUUGACCUCCAUCCUGUCUACAAGCAGUGCCGUACAUCACUCAGCUGUCGUUGGCCACUCUGAGAACCUCAUCCGUGCCUUGGCAGAAAAUGACAAGCUUCCCUUACAAAAUAGUGUCAAAGGAACAUUUAUUACGAAUAAUGAUAAUGAAAAGUGAAAAUAGCUGAAAUAAAUGUAACUUAACUGUAUCUUAAUUCAAAGAUUGAGCUACAAAUACUUCAGCAGUGAGAUUAAAAUGGUGGGCAAAAAUACAAUAAUACUAUACAUGGUAUAAUAUGGGAAAUGUUUGAUGUUGCUAUAAUGGUAGAAAUGGUUUACUGAGCUUAUGACUGCAACUAACAUAAGCUUUAGGCACACAUACACAAAAACAUAAUCAAAGUUGUUUAUGUGGGUGCUACUGUGAUCAUUUUUGUAUUAGCACAGCACAGCACAAUACUGUACUACUGGAGAGCCCUGAAAUAGACAUGAAAUAAUCUGCCCUCAGUCACUGUUCAAACAGUACCCUCUACACUACAAAUCAGUCUCUAGGACUUAAAUGAUGGUUUAAAUUAAUGUUAUGACUUGACACCCCAGAGUGCUGCUGUAGAGGCAUGAGUGAAAGAGCUUGUGUACGUGGUUAUGCCUCUGCAUUUGUCUGUUGGCUGUCUCGGUGACCGCAGCAGCAGCGUGCUUGCAGCAGAGCCCAUCUGUCAGAGCCUGUAAUUGCUUCAUGACUCCAGGACAUUUGACUCAAGUGCACUGCCACAGAUUAUUAUUAUCCUUUUCUCAGGGAACAAUUUUUCUCACUCUCUGGGAGGGGCCAAGCAUAAAACUUAAAAAGAUAGUGAGGAGGAUAAAUAGACUGGGAGGCAGCAAAGGAGAAAGAUAGGUAAGGUUGAUCAACUGUACCUAUGUGUUAUUGGUGUGGUGGUAUAUGGGGUGUAGUGUGCUAAAUGUAAUGUGUGUCACACAGAAUGGGUGAAGGUGAAAAGGCAAGAAAAAGCAGGAGAGCGAAGGAGCAUUGUCCAUUUCAACUAGUGGGUGAGCAUGGUGUGCAAACCCACAUCCAUGUUUUAAUAAGAUGUUUAAAUGCAACAUGGCCUUUCUCUGCUCAGUGUUUCCCUGGCUCUUUUCAGAUAAAACUCACUUCAUAGCAGUUCCCAGUCCAUCUCGGAAACAAUGAUUCCACAAUGCUUUGCUAAAGCUGGUAAAAUGGAACCAAAUCACCUCUUGAAUGGAUUUGGUCCCCUUCAACCAGCUGUAGCUAUGCUUUGAUGACUACAGGAGCUCCUUUUGCUGUGAUGCCUUCAACAAUCACUGUAAUGGCAGUGGGCCACUUCUUGAUGAUGACUGGCUUAUGGCUUUUCUCUACCAACAACAUCUGGAGUGUAACUGUCAAGUUCCAUGCUAAACCUGUCUUAUUUUUGACUAAUAAAGAAAUCAAUCCCAGCUUCAAAACUUUGGUAUGGUCCACUUUCAUGACUGAGUGUUACUUCUCUGCCACCAACGGGAUUGAUAUUCUGACCACACUAUCAAUGGCUGUUUCAAAAAUAGCAGGGGGUGGAUGUGCAGUGUGAGCUAUUUCGACACAGCACUCGCAUGUCUGUACGGCUGUCUUGCUAAGACACCUCCUAAACUGACUGUCACUGGAUGCUAACACUCAAUUACACCGUGGGUGGGAAUAGGCAAAAGCAGAUAGCCAAUGCAGCUCAGCAGGGGUACAAUGGCAUUGUAAAGAGAUCUAAAGUAGAACUAAGACAAUAAGAGUGCAAGAAAUAAAAAAUAAAUUGUUGUUUAGAGACUGUACAAUACGCACAUUCAAACAUUUUGGCCUCCUUCCCCUGAAACCUCCUGCAGUGAGGUUGGACAAGCUGGGUUAGAUGAUAGCCAGAUGCUCUAGAGGACAGGAGCUGAGCGCACAAAUCACAGGAGCAGACCGCUCGCAAGCAGUUACAGCCUCACACAUUCACUCACUGUUACUGCAGAACAGGCAGAUCAACCCAAACUACCUUCACACUGUCUCCUGACCACCCUCCUUUUCUUGCCUCUCUAUUUCUUUUGCCUUCCUAAUUUAGUGCUUAACGCUAUGUCAAACCGACCUUUUCUCAAACUCAGAAAAUAUACAACAUAACCACAAAAACAAUCUUGAAUUAUUUGUUCCGAAAUUGAUCUAAAAGCUGCAAUUUAUCUAAUUUGUCUAAUUACUCAAACUGAUUUGAGGAUGCUGGUAUAGUAUAUACAAAUAAUGUAUUAAAUCCAUUGUAAAUAGCACUGUAUUCUCCAUUUCUUUUGAAUUUGAAGUGUUUUCCAUUGGACCAAUAACCAUGAAAUUUCUUUGGGUAAUGUAAGAGGCACUAGCUUACUCAAUUACAGUAGUCUGACUUGAUUAGCCUAGUCUGAAAUGAGCAAGAGAGGGUGGAAAAAUUCCUAAUUCAAUCACUGGCAACCAUGAAGAACGUGAAUAAAGCGGCAAGCAGAUUGGGCUCUAUGGGCCCACAACACUUUUUUCUAUCAAAUUGUGAUCUCUGUUACAAUACCAACAUUAUGCUGUUGCCUAUUAGUACGGUCAUUAUAUUGGGAAUACUGCAUUUUGGAACACGGUUUGACUGAUUGCAGAGCCCGCAUUUACCAUAUGGGGUUUGCCUGUAUGUUGCCAUAUUAAAAGAAAGCUGAGCACUAUAUGAGAGAGGGAGGAGGGCAAAUAUCACAAGGAGGUGACACGUAAAAGGGUACAGAUCGCUUGUUUAGAGCCAGUUUAUGAGUCAUGGGCUAUUAAUCCUAUUGUUUACAAUAUUGUAGCAGCUACUGGCUUCUAGCAGCCCGAGGGAAAGAUGAGCCAGGCUCCCCUUGCAGGCUUGGCCUGCGGUAAACACACACAGGGAGAAAACACAAUGUGGAUGUCCGAGAAAAUCCUUUCCUCAACACGUUACUACUGGUUAUAACAGCACUUUCAAUUUAGUAGCAAUUGUAAAAAACAACUAGGUCUAAUUUAUGAGGAAAUGCCUUUACACUCUGUAGUGGUGUGCGUGUGAGUAAUGAACAAGGCGAAAUAUAGUAAAACUCCCCAGAUUCUGCUGCACCCCUGUUGGUAGACUUGAUUUGUCUCUGUAUUUGGGACUCCAAGUUAAAAGAUUCAUCUGUCACCCACAGGGUUCUUCCUAUGUGUCUUGUCUUCCUCAAUCUUCUUUCCACCGCUGGAAAACCGACCCGCGCUCUUAAAACACCCAGGCACAUAACACACAUUACACACACACACACACGCACACGCACACACACACACACCAGGGACUCUGACACACUCUCUGCUUGAGCCCAAAAGCUAGCGUUUGAUGUUGAUAACUUAUCUCAAUUACAAAGAAAAAGCGUCACAGUACACAAAAAGGAAGUUGUAUCAUAAUAGUUUUGAGGAGAAACAUUUUAGAUUAGCCUUGUUCAAAAGCAAUGUAGGCCAGGACAUUCUGUGCCGGUGCUCAAUCUAAACACGAGAAGGGAGAACGGACCUACUAUCAGGAAGCAAUAAUAACAUCAAUCAUUAACUAGAGGGGGCUUCAUAUCAUAUCCUUCAUCCAAGGGGCUUCUGAUCAACUUCCAACUCCAAGCACUUCUUCAUGACAGUCGUCAAAGGCACUUUUUGAAAUAUGAUUCUAUUGUAGGAAUACCUCUAAGCACUCGAUCGAAACAAGUGAAAAAACACACCAGACAAGGUACUUUCAUUUCAACCUAGGGAGAGAUUUUCGAGGGCUUUAGGCCUUGUGGACUGUCUCCCCGAUAUUGCAACAGCUCGAGCGUGAAAUAAAAGUAAAUGGGCAGACUGGAGAAGGCGACAUAUAUCUUCGUUUCUUUGAAGGCAAGGGGACAGAGCGUGGACUGAAGCAAGCAACGCACACACAACAGGAGCCCUGAUACAGAAAAUACUGUACUCCAGCACUUUUCGCAGCUAAAUCAAUGAGUCUGACAGCAGACCAGCUUUCUGCUCCUUUACAUUCUGAAUCCUGGUUUACCUAUACACAUUACGUACCCAUUGCAUUUUAAUAUAUACACUGCAAGCAAUUUUGUUUACACUCUGCCAGUCUGUGACCUUUGCUAAAUAUGUUUACUAUUAUUCAUUAAAGUUUAAAAGCUGUGCCAUAAGAGUAACCUUGUAAUGUAUUUUUCCCUUACGGACUACAGGCUAGGACAGCUGACCAUAUGGCCAAUUUCGUGUGUUGUGUGAUUUUUAUACAUUUUGUCAUUUAUUGAGUAUAACAC